CCGGCACGGGUGAGUAACACGUAUGCAAUCCACCUGUAACAGGGGGAUAACCCGGAGAAAUCCGGACUAAUACCCCAUAAUAUGGGCGCUCCGCAUGGAGAGCCCAUUAAAGAUAGCAAUUUUGGUUACAGACGAGCAUGCGCUCCAUUAGCCAGUUGGCGGGGUAACGGCCCACCAAAGCGACGAUGGAUAGGGGUUCUGAGAGGAAGGUCCCCCACAUUGGAACUGAGACACGGUCCAA
Molecule: ribosomal RNA, 241 nt
Filed under: uncultured bacterium
Lineage: Bacteria
Description: partial 16S ribosomal RNA
Rfam family: Bacterial small subunit ribosomal RNA
Source: RNAcentral